This 1314-nucleotide ribosomal RNA is filed under the name uncultured bacterium. Its description in RNAcentral is "bacterial SSU rRNA". It matches the Rfam family "Bacterial small subunit ribosomal RNA", at positions 67 to 1399 of the family's 1533-position model. The record is from RNAcentral.
GGCGCCGCCGCGCCCGCGCCGCCCGCCCCGGCGGCCGGGCGCGGCGCGCGGCCGGGCCCCGCCCCGCAGCCCGGGCGCACAGCGCGGGACGCCUCGGAACGCCUCGGAAUGUCAGGCCGGCGCACGCCGGCCUCGAAGAAAGGGGACGCUGCAGGAGAGCCUUGCGUCCUAUUAGCUAGUUGGUGGGGUAACGGCCCACCAAGGCGAUGAUAGGUAGCCGGCCUGAGAGGGUGAACGGCCACAAGGGGACUGAGAUACGGCCCUUACUCCUACGGGAGGCAGCAGUGGGGAAUAUUGGACAAUGGGGGCAACCCUGAUCCCAGCAAUUCUGUGUGCACGAAGAAAGUUUUCGGAUUGUAAAGUGCUUUCAGCAGGGAAGAAGAAAGUGACGGUACCUGCAGAAGAAGCGACGGCUAAAUACGUGCCAGCAGCCGCGGUAAUACGUAUGUCGCAAGCGUUAUCCGGAAUUAUUGGGCAUAAAGGGCAUCUAGGCGGCCCUGUAAGUCUAGGGUGAAAACCUGCGGCUCAACCGCAGGCCUGCCCCGGAAACUACAGGGCUAGAGUAUCGGAGAGGUGGACGGAACUGCACGAGUAGAGGUGAAAUUCGUAGAUAUGUGCAGGAAUGCCGAUGAUGAAGAUAGUUCACUGGACGGUAACUGACGCUGAAGUGCGAAAGCUAGGGGAGCAAACAGGAUUAGAUACCCUGGUAGUCCUAGCUGUAAACGAUGAUUACUGGGUGUGGGCAUGAAGAGUGUCCGUGCCGAAGCAAAUGCGAUAAGUAAUCCGCCUGGGGAGUACGGCCGCAAGGCUGAAACUCAAAGGAAUUGACGGGGACCCGCACAAGCGGUGGAGCAUGUGGUUUAAUUCGACGCAACGCGAGGAACCUUACCAGAUCUUGACAUCCUGCGAAUGCCCGUGAGAGCGGGCAGUGCCUUCGGGAACGCAGAGACAGGUGGUGCAUGGCUGUCGACAGCUCGUGUCGUGAGAUGUUGGGUUAAGUCCCGCAACGAGCGCAACCCCUAUCGUUAGUUGCCAUCAUUAAGUUGGGGACUCUAGCGAGACUGCCUGCGAAGAGCAGGAGGAAGGUGGGGAUGACGUCAAGUCAUCAUGCCCCUUAUGAUCUGGGCUACACACGUGCUACAAUGGCCGGUACAGAGAGCAGCCAGGCGGCAACGCCGAGCGAAUCUUUAAAGCCGGUCCAAGUUCGGAUUGAAGCCUGCAACUCGGCUUCAUGAAGCUGGAAUCGCUAGUAAUCGCAGAAUCAGCAAUGCUGCGGUGAAUACGUUCUCGGGUUCUUGUACACACCGCCCGUCA